AUGGCCGCCGGCGCCUCUCCGCCGGAGACGGCGCUCCCCGCGGCGGACGGCCCCGGAGACGAAGACGGGGAGGAGGAGGCGCAAUGCCGCAUCUGCCGCCUCCCGGCCGAGGCGGGCCGCCCCCUGCGCCACCCCUGCGCCUGCCGCGGCAGCAUCAGGUUCGUCCACGACGACUGCCAGCUCCGCUGGCUCGCCACCCGCCAGCGACCCCGAUGCGAGCUGUGCAACAACGACAUCUCCAUCCGACCUGUGUACGCUGCAGACGCCCCUGUGAGGCUGCCUGUUUCUGAGUUCAUGGCGGGUUUCUCCCACAAACUCAUGGAUCUGUUGCUCCUCCUUAUCUGCCUCGUCCCAGCACUUGUCAUGUACCUCAUCACCCUCGGGGCAUGGCUCUUCGCACUUGCCAGGUCCUUUGCUCAAGUGCACUAUCUGCUGUCCCUCCGCCCCUCUGUCGCCUCGAUUGUUGCUCAAACUGCAGUUUUCAUUUUAAGGCUGCCUGGUAUAAUUCUCAGAGGGGUCGUAGGUUCUAUCCCCUCUGUCGCCUCGAUUGUUGCUCAAAGCGCAGUAUUUAUUUUAAGGCUGCCUGGUAUAUUUCUCAGAGGGGUCGUACGCUCUAUUCCUGCUGCCAAUUUCUGUCUUAAUCUGCUGAGCGCAAAAAUAUUACACCCAGUGUUCUUUGGCUGGGCGCUUGAUAUCUGCACUUCAGAAAUGUUUGGUGCAACAAUGUCUCAGAGGUUCAAGCUUAUGCUUGCUUCAUCUUUUGCUUCAACUGUUCUUCAUUGGUAUUUUGGAUGCAUGUUUUGGCACCUCGGCCUUAGAUUCUUCAGACUUAUUGAUAAGGUACUGAGGCCAGGAAUUGCCAUUCCCUUUGUCCACUAUGAAGCUCACGAACCAUUCUACAAAUUUUAUCUCAAGAAGCUUCAUAUUCUUUUUGUUGGAAUUAUCUCUAUGGUUUUGGUCAUUGUUGUUCCUAUUCAAAUUGGCGGGCUAUUGGUGCCGGAGUUGUUCCCAUUUCAUAUCACCUACUUCAAUUGUGGUGCAAAGGGCAUAUCAUUUUGGCAAGUGCCACGAAACUAUGUCGAUUCGGUUUCUCAUGCUCUUCUUCUGACGUUUCUCAUUGAUAACACUAAGACACUUGUAUACCUUGAGUGGUUAGUGAAGAAGGUAACCCGGUAUUCCUUUGUCACUACUGGACAUGCUCUAGGCUUGUCAGAUUCGUUGAGUAUCUGGCCCGUUGGUGCAUCUGGACAUGAUGAUAUUGGGAGUAGUGUCGCACCAGAAGACCAGUAUGAUAGGAUCAGUGAAGCUAAGGAUGGAAGGAGAUCAGUUGCAGUUGCUACAAUCCUAAGUCUGAUGCUUGCAUGGUUGACUAUUGUGAUAUUCAAUUUGGCUGUGCUCAUUUUUCCAAUCUCAAUUGGGCAUGCCAUCACUCGGCUGCCACUAGCAGGUGGACUGAAAUCCGAUGACAUGCUUGCUUUGGCUAUUGGAUUUGGCACCAUAUCAACUGUCAUUGCCGCCUCUAGAGAUUCAUUUGCCUACAUGACUUCUGGGAGAACACACCUUCUAGUCCUGAAUCGCUAUCUGGUUGUGUUCUUAUGGCUUGUCAUCGCUCCUUUCCUGACCGGGCUGCUGGUUGAUCUAUCACUAAUAUCACCAUUCACUGGGCUUGAUGAUGACGUUCCAGUUGUAGGCCUUUCCUACUAUUGGAGCCUGGGGUGUCUAUCUCUGAAAAUCUGGGGGAAGCAGGCUCGUCGGACAAGGGCCAGAUGCUUGCGAGCCUAUUUCAUCGACGAAAGGUGGGGCCCAAAGCUUAAUCAGGCAAAGGCAGAUUGGGAUUCAGGGAUCACACCAAUGUGGUGGUUCUUGCAAGAUGUGUGCGUGCCUAUCGUCACGAAGCUAAUCGCUGCUCUGGGUGUUCCCUAUGUGCUUGCCAAGGGGGUCUUCCCGAGAUUCGGGUACUCCAUCGCCAUGAACUCGUCGGUGUACCGUUUCGUGUGGCUGGGCAGCCUCGGCUUCUAUCUUGCCAAAGCGUUGUGCGCCAAACUCCAUGAUUCUAUCAGGGAUGCCCGUUAUGUCGUUGGGCAGAGGCUGGAAGAUGUCGCCGACGGUAGCUGA
This 2115-nucleotide ribosomal RNA is filed under the name Triticum aestivum (bread wheat). RNAcentral describes it as "partial small subunit ribosomal RNA". Lineage: Eukaryota; Viridiplantae; Streptophyta; Magnoliopsida; Poales; Poaceae. The record is from RNAcentral.